UUUCUCUUUCAACGGUCAUUUACUUUACGUGCUUAUGCACGGUAAAGUGCACUUUACAUCACUGUUUGCGACAGGGAAAAUACACUUACCGUCCACAAACAUGUAAAAUGUGUUACGUCACUGCUUGUAAAUGCUUGUUUAGGCACGUGUGAUUACUCCACUCGCCUUCGGCUCGUUCAGCAAACCUCACACUUGCCUAAACAAAUAUUUAC
Molecule: long non-coding RNA, 212 nt
Organism: Bradysia coprophila
Lineage: Eukaryota; Metazoa; Arthropoda; Insecta; Diptera; Sciaridae
Source: RefSeq, a predicted model, not a curated record